Molecule: ribosomal RNA, 1144 nt
Filed under: Streptococcus infantis
Lineage: Bacteria; Bacillati; Bacillota; Bacilli; Lactobacillales; Streptococcaceae
Description: partial 23S ribosomal RNA
Rfam family: Bacterial large subunit ribosomal RNA
Source: RNAcentral
AGGUGUGGAUAGGGGAGAAAUUCCAAUCGAACCCGGAGAUAGCUGGUUCUCCUCGAAAUAGCUUUAGGGCUAGCCUCAUACAAGUCUUGCGGAGGUAGAGCACUGAAUUUCCUAGGGGGCGUCAAAGCUUACCGAAGAAUAUCAAACUCCGAAUGCCGCGUAGAUGGUGUAUGGGAGUCAGACUGCACGAGAUAAGUUGGGUAGUCAAAAGGGAAAGAGCCCAGACCUGCAGCUAAGGUCCCCAAAUGUGUGUUAAGUGGAAAAGGAUGUGGGAUUUCGAAGACAACUAGGAUGUUGGCUCAGAAGCAGCCAUACAUUCAAAGAGUGCGUAAUAGCUCACUAGUCGAGAGGUCCUGCGCCGAAAAUGUCCGGGGCUGAAACACACUACCGAAGCUCAGGAAUGUACUUGUACAUUGGUAGAGGAGCAUUGUAUACGGGAAGAAGCAGUACCGAUAAGGAGCUGUGGACUGUAUAGAAGAGAGAAUGCCGGAAUGAGUAGCGAGAGGAAGGUGAGAAUCCUUCCGGCCGAAUAUCUAAGGUUUCCAGAGUAAAGCUGAUCUGCUCUGGGUAAGUCGGGGCCUAAGGCGAGGUCGAAAGACGUAGUCGAUGGAUAACAGGUUGAAAUUCCUGUACUAUGAUAUGACAGAACUGUGGGGACACGUGUGGAAAGUGGAAGCCGGGAAUGGAAAGACCGGUGCAAGCAAGGUAGGAGACGUACUGGCAAAUCCGCCAGUCAAUCUGAAGAUGUGAUGCGUACUGAAAUAUAAGUAGGGAAGUCCGUGAGCCAUGCGUCAAGAAAAGCCGCUAUUGUUCAUAUCGUACCCGUACCGUAAACCGACACAGGUGGAUGAGGAGAGAAUCCUAAGGCCGACGGGAGAAGCAUUGUUAAGGAACUCGGCAAAAUGACUCCGUAACUUCGGGAGAAGGAGUGCCACUGAGAGGUGGCCGCAGAGAAUUGGCCCAAGCAACUGUUUAGCAAAAACACAGGUCUAUGCAAAACCGAAAGGUGAAGUAUAUGGGCUGACGCCUGCCCGGUGCUGGAAGGUUAAGGGGAGAGGUUAGCGGUAAGCGAAGCUUUGAACUUAAGCCCCAGUAAACGGCGGCCGUAACAAUAACGGUCCUAAGGUAGCGAAAUUCCUUGUCG